This 630-nucleotide ribosomal RNA is filed under the name Elusimicrobiota bacterium. RNAcentral describes it as "bacterial SSU rRNA". It matches the Rfam family "Bacterial small subunit ribosomal RNA", at positions 1 to 882 of the family's 1533-position model. Lineage: Bacteria; Pseudomonadati; Elusimicrobiota. The record is from RNAcentral.
UGGCGAGUUUGAUCCUGGCUCAGAGCGAACGCUGGCGGCGUACUUAACACAUGCAAGUCGAACGAGGAUCACGGUGUGAGCAAUCAUAUUGUGGUCCGAGUGGCGCACGGGUGAAUAACACGUGGGUAACCUGCCCUUGAGCCUGGGAUACCCCCUCGAAAGGGGGGCUAAUACCGGAUACGUUCCUUGGGUCGACAGAUCCGGGGAGGAAAGGUGGCGCAAGCUGCCGCUCUUGGAGGGGCUCGCGGCCUAUCAGCUAGUUGGCGGGGUAANNGAGGGGGCAAGCGUUGCUCGGAAUUACUGGGCGUAAAGGGCGCGUAGGCGGGAUGGCAAGUCGGUCGUGAAAUCCUUCGGCUCAACCGAAGAAGGGCGAUCGAUACUGCUGUUCUUGAGGAUUGCAGAGGAGACUGGAAUUCCCGGUGUAGCGGUGAAAUGUGUAGAGAUCGGGAGGAACACCGGUGGCGAAGGCGGGUCUCUGGGCAAUUCCUGACGCUGAGGCGCGAAAGCGUGGGGAGCAAACGGGAUUAGAUACCCCGGUAGUCCAUUCCGUAAACGAUGGGCACUAGGUGUAGAGGGUUUCAACCCCUUCUGUGCCGAAGCUAACGCAUUAAGUGCCCCGCCUGGGGAGUA